CCUACGGGGGGCUGCAGUGGGGAAUAUUGGACAAUGGGCGAAAGCCUGAUCCAGCCAUGCCGCGUGUGUGAAGAAGGCCUUCGGGUUGUAAAGCACUUUCAGUGGGGAAGAAAGCCUUGGGGCUAAUACCCUCGAGGAAGGACAUCACCCACAGAAGAAGCACCGGCUAACUCCGUGCCAGCAGCCGCGGUAAUACGGAGGGUGCGAGCGUUAAUCGGAAUUACUGGGCGUAAAGCGCGCGUAGGCGGUCUGAUAAGCCGGUUGUGAAAGCCCCGGGCUCAACCUGGGAACGGCAUCCGGAACGGUCAGGCUAGAGUGCAGGAGAGGAAGGUAGAAUCCCCGGUGUAGCGGUGAAAUGCGUAGAGAUCGGGAGGAAUACCAGUGGCGAAGGCGGCCUUCUGGACUGACACUGACGCUGAGGUGCGAAAGCGUGGGUAGCAAACAGGAUUAGAUACCCUAGUAGUC
RNAcentral lists this ribosomal RNA (465 nucleotides) under Vreelandella stevensii. RNAcentral's name for it is "partial 16S ribosomal RNA". It matches the Rfam family "Bacterial small subunit ribosomal RNA", at positions 338 to 795 of the family's 1533-position model. The record is from RNAcentral. Lineage: Bacteria; Pseudomonadati; Pseudomonadota; Gammaproteobacteria; Oceanospirillales; Halomonadaceae.